CACAAGGGCAAAAUAGGCCCAUUAGUUCGGAGGGAAACAUGGGACUCACAGAGUAGUGAUACCAAGAACUUUAAGAUCCGGGAUAGCCGCUCCCCCAAAAAUGGCGACGGCCCACUCCUCAAAUAACAGGCGUAACAGGCGCCGCACCUCUACACGCCAUACUUCCAAAGAAGAACAAGCAAUGACGCAGACACGUCAGAAACAAUAGCGUCUUAUUGCAUCCGCAAUGUGAGCUCACGCCACCCUGGACAAACACAGUUGCCAUGGAGCAACGUGUUGCUGCUGUUGUUGUUGGUGUUGGUAACCAGGCAUAAGAGGAGAGUGCAGCCGGGCCGGUGAGUCA
Gasterosteus aculeatus aculeatus (three-spined stickleback) is the source of this 343-nucleotide long non-coding RNA. The record is from Ensembl. NCBI's taxonomy places the organism in Eukaryota, Metazoa, Chordata, Actinopteri, Perciformes, Gasterosteidae.